This 27-nucleotide non-coding RNA is filed under the name Rattus norvegicus (Norway rat). The record is from RNAcentral. Lineage: Eukaryota; Metazoa; Chordata; Mammalia; Rodentia; Muridae.
UAGCCUUAUCGUUUGGUGUGUUCCUGU